This 67-nucleotide transfer RNA is filed under the name Marmota monax (woodchuck). RNAcentral's name for it is "tRNA.Met". It matches the Rfam family "tRNA". Rfam says of the family: Transfer RNA (tRNA) molecules are approximately 80 nucleotides in length. The record is from RNAcentral. Lineage: Eukaryota; Metazoa; Chordata; Mammalia; Rodentia; Sciuridae.
GGUUGUAGCUCAGUGGUAGAGCACUCACCUCAUGUGUGUGAGGCACUGGAUUCAAUUCUCAGCACCA